AACAGGAUUAGAUACCCUGGUAGUCCACGCCGUAAACGAUGUCGACUUGGAGGUUGUGCCCUUGAGGCGUGGCUUCCGGAGCUAACGCGUUAAGUCGACCGCCUGGGGAGUACGGCCGCAAGGUUAAAACUCAAAUGAAUUGACGGGGGCCCGCACAAGCGGUGGAGCAUGUGGUUCAAUUCGAUGCAACGCGAAGAACCUUACCUACUCUUGACAUCCAGAGAACUUUCCAGAGAUGGAUUGGUGCCUUCGGGAACUCUGAGACAGGUGCUGCAUGGCUGUCGUCAGCUCGUGUUGUGAAAUGUUGGGUUAAGUCCCGCAACGAGCGCAACCCUUAUCCUUUGUUGCCAGCGGUCCGGCCGGGAACUCAAAGGAGACUGCCAGUGAUAAACUGGAGGAAGGUGGGGAUGACGUCAAGUCAUCAUGGCCCUUACGAGUAGGGCUACACACGUGCUACAAUGGCGCAUACAAAGAGAAGCGACCUCGCGAGAGCAAGCGGACCUCAUAAAGUGCGUCGUAGUCCGGAUUGGAGUCUGCAACUCGACUCCAUGAAGUCGGAAUCGCUAGUAAUCGUAGAUCAGAAUGCUACGGUGAAUACGUUCCCGGGCCUUGUACACACCGCCCGUCACACCAUGGGAGUGGGUUGCAAAAGAAGUAGGUAGCUUAACCUUCGGGAGGGCGCUUACCACUUUGUGAUUCAUGACUGGGGUGAAGUCGUAACAAGGUAACC
RNAcentral lists this ribosomal RNA (730 nucleotides) under uncultured bacterium. RNAcentral describes it as "bacterial SSU rRNA". It matches the Rfam family "Bacterial small subunit ribosomal RNA", at positions 771 to 1501 of the family's 1533-position model. The record is from RNAcentral.